ACCUGUAAGCCAGGCCAGGGACAGUGUCAGGUGGGCAGUUUGACUGGGGCGGUCGCCUCCUAAAGUGUAACGGAGGCGCUCAAAGGUUCCCUCAGAAUGGUUGGAAAUCAUUCGCAGAGGGUAAAGGGAUAAGGGAGCUUGACUGCGAGAGAAACAGCUCGAGCAGGGAGGAAACUAGGACUUAGUGAUCUGGUGGUACCGCAUGGAAGGGCCAUCACUCAACGGAUAAAAGCUACCCUGGGGAUAA
This 247-nucleotide ribosomal RNA is filed under the name Lactobacillus helveticus. Its description in RNAcentral is "partial 23S ribosomal RNA". It matches the Rfam family "Bacterial large subunit ribosomal RNA", at positions 2231 to 2477 of the family's 2925-position model. The record is from RNAcentral. Lineage: Bacteria; Bacillati; Bacillota; Bacilli; Lactobacillales; Lactobacillaceae.